RNAcentral lists this long non-coding RNA (777 nucleotides) under Equus caballus (horse). Its description in RNAcentral is "lncRNA (ENSECAG00000059030.1)". The record is from RNAcentral. Lineage: Eukaryota; Metazoa; Chordata; Mammalia; Perissodactyla; Equidae.
CUAGUGCUGACCACCCGUCCUGCUCCUUUGGCUGAUGUCACCCAUGGGAGUUUGUCUCCAUCAGUGCUUUCUCUGGAGCCCGACAAUGAGCAGCCAGGCUUUGACCGCCCCCAUCUGACUGCCUCGUGAAACUGUGCAGCAUCUGGCACCCCGGGGUUGGAGCUGGGGAAGCGAGAUGUGACAAAGAACAGGGAAGGCCCUUCUUGCCCGGUCUGUUGGAGGCCAGCACUGGGGACCCCCAGAUGUGUAAACGUACGAACGCUGGCUCAUUUUCUUGUGAUGAGCAUUGGUGGGUCCUCCUGGGGGUCUCUCGCUGUGACUUUACUUGGCACUGGGAGAGAAAAUCUCUAGCUGACAGCUUGUGACCUGCUGCUCUCAACCUCUGCAUUCUGUGGGCCACCUCCAACCUCUUUCUCCUGGGGUUGCCUCGGCCUCGACAGGAAGCCCGCUUGGCUGGAGACUUUUCAAGACAAAGCCAAAUCUGCUGCCUAGAGGGUUGACUUGGUCCACAGAAAAUGGUUGCAUGUCUGCCAUCUGCCAGGUGCUGAGGACAGCAGGGUGAAGAAAAGACCUCCCUGCCAUAGGACAACUUAUGUGACAAGUGUUAUCGCUAAGAUAUGGCCAGAAGACUCAGAAACCUAUGGGGUGGAUGCUCUUCCGGGGCUGAGCUGAGAUGCGGGCCAGGGGUGGCUUCAGGAGGCAGUGACUGUCAGGGUGCACAGCUUGCUGCCACGUGGAGCAAGAGGGCGAAGGGCAUUGGGGCACAAACAGAAGCAU